CGAACGGGUGAGUAACGCGUUGGUGACCUGCCCCGAAGCGGGGGAUACCAGUUCGAAAGGACUGCUAAUACCCCAUGUGGUUAUAUUAGGUAAAGGAGCGCUUUGGGAGGGGCCUGCGUCCCAUCAGCUAGUUGGUAAGGUAAUGGCCUACCAAGGCAUCGACGGGUAGGGGACCUGAGAGGGUGGCCCCCCACAAUGGAACUGAAACACGGUCCAUACACCUACGGGUGGCAGCAGCAGGGAAUAUUGGUAAUCUGCGAAAGCGGGAACCAGCAACGCCGCGUGUGCGAUGAAGGCCUUCGGGUCGUAAAGCACUUUUCGAGGGGAUGAGGGACAGUACCCUCGGAAUAAGUCUCGGCUAACUACGUGCCAGCAGCCGCGGUAAAACGUAGGAGGCGAGCGUUAUCCGGAUUUACUGGGCGUAAAGCGCGUGCAGGCGGUUCGGUAAGUUGGAUGUGAAAGCUCCGGGCUCAACUGGGAGAGGUCGUUCAAUAC
Molecule: ribosomal RNA, 495 nt
Filed under: uncultured soil bacterium
Lineage: Bacteria
Description: bacterial SSU rRNA
Rfam family: Bacterial small subunit ribosomal RNA
Source: RNAcentral